CCCUUAGAUGUUCUGGGCCGCACGCGCGCUACACUGACGAAGUCAGCGAGCAUGUCCUACGCCGACAGGUGCGGGGAAUCUUGUCAAACUUCGUCGUGAUGGGGACUGAUUAUUGAAAUUCUUGAUCAUCAACGAGGAAUUCCUAGUAAGCGCAAGUCAGCAACUUGCGUUGAUUACGUCCCUGCCCUUUGUACACACCGCCCGUCGCUACUACCGAUUGAAUGGUUUAGUGAGAUCUUCGGAUUGGCGCCACUGCGGCUCAGCAAUGGGCUCGGUGGAUGCCGAAAAGUUGAUCAAACUUGAUCAUUUAGAGGAAGUAAAAGUCGUAACA
This 331-nucleotide ribosomal RNA is filed under the name uncultured eukaryote. RNAcentral describes it as "partial 18S ribosomal RNA". It matches the Rfam family "Eukaryotic small subunit ribosomal RNA", at positions 1470 to 1796 of the family's 1831-position model. The record is from RNAcentral.